GAUGAACGCUGGCGGCGUGCCUAAUACAUGCAAGUCGAGCGAACAGACGAGGAGCUUGAUCCUCUGACGUUAGCGGCGGACGGGUGAGUAACACGUGGAUAACCUACCUAUAAGACUGGGAUAACUUCGGGAAACCGGAGCUAAUACCGGAUAAUAUAUUGAACCGCAUGGUUCAAUAGUGAAAGACGGUUUUGCUGUCACUUAUAGAUGGAUCCGCGCCGCAUUAGCUAGUUGGUAAGGUAACGGCUUACCAAGGCGACGAUGCGUAGCCGACCUGAGAGGGUGAUCGGCCACACUGGAACUGAGACACGGUCCAGACUCCUACGGGAGGCAGCAGUAGGGAAUCUUCCGCAAUGGGCGAAAGCCUGACGGAGCAACGCCGCGUGAGUGAUGAAGGUCUUCGGAUCGUAAAACUCUGUUAUUAGGGAAGAACAAAUGUGUAAGUAACUAUGCACGUCUUGACGGUACCUAAUCAGAAAGCCACGGCUAACUACGUG
RNAcentral lists this ribosomal RNA (497 nucleotides) under uncultured bacterium. RNAcentral describes it as "partial 16S ribosomal RNA". It matches the Rfam family "Bacterial small subunit ribosomal RNA", at positions 28 to 507 of the family's 1533-position model. The record is from RNAcentral.